GAAAUGAUUGUGCCAGAGAA
This 20-nucleotide unclassified non-coding RNA is filed under the name Mus musculus (house mouse). RNAcentral describes it as "oocyte_clustered_small_RNA2892". Lineage: Eukaryota; Metazoa; Chordata; Mammalia; Rodentia; Muridae. The record is from RNAcentral.